Molecule: ribosomal RNA, 514 nt
Filed under: uncultured Actinomycetes bacterium
Lineage: Bacteria; Bacillati; Actinomycetota; Actinomycetes
Description: bacterial SSU rRNA
Rfam family: Bacterial small subunit ribosomal RNA
Source: RNAcentral
UGGGGAAUCUUGCGCAAUGGGCGAAAGCCUGACGCAGCGACGCCGCGUGCGGGAAGAAGGCCUUCGGGUUGUAAACCGCUUUCAGGAGGGACGAAGCCACUCGGGUUAAUAGCCCAGAGGGUGACGGUACCUCCAGAAGAAGCCCCGGCUAACUACGUGCCAGCAGCCGCGGUAAUACGUAGGGGGCAAGCGUUGUCCGGAUUUAUUGGGCGUAAAGCGCGUGUAGGCGGCCAGGUAAGUCGGCUGUGAAAACUCGAGGCUCAACCUCGAGAUGUCGGCCGAAACUAUCUGGCUAGAGUCCGGAAGAGGAGAAUGGAAUUCCCGGUGUAGCGGUGAAAUGCGCAGAUAUCGGGAAGAACACCCGUGGCGAAGGCGGUUCUCUGGGACGGUACUGACGCUGAGACGCGAAAGCGUGGGGAGCGAACAGGAUUAGAUACCCUGGUAGUCCACGCCGUAAACGAUGGGAACUAGGUGUGGGCGGUGUCGACUCCGUCGUGCCGAGCUAACGCAUUAA